Ictidomys tridecemlineatus (thirteen-lined ground squirrel) is the source of this 106-nucleotide small nuclear RNA. The record is from Ensembl. NCBI's taxonomy places the organism in Eukaryota, Metazoa, Chordata, Mammalia, Rodentia, Sciuridae.
GUGCUUGCCUCGGCAGCACAUACACUGAUAUCGGAACGACAGGAGUAGACUGGCACGGCCCCUGCACAAGGAUGACAGGCAAACUCAUGAAGCGUUCCAUAUUUUC